AGUGAACGCUGGCGGUAGGCCUAACACAUGCAAGUCGAACGGCAGCACAGUAAGAGCUUGCUCUUACGGGUGGCGAGUGGCGGACGGGUGCGGAAUACAUCGGAAUCUACUUUUUCGUGGGGGAUAACGUAGGGAAACUUACGCUAAUACCGCAUACGACAUACGGGUGAAAGCAGGGGAUCUUCGGACCUUGCGCGAUUGAAUGAGCCGAUGUCGGAUUAGCUAGUUGGCGGGGUAAAGGCCCACCAAGGCGACGAUCCGUAGCUGGUCUGAGAGGAUGAUCAGCCACACUGGAACUGAGACACGGUCCAGACUCCUACGGGAGGCAGCAGUGGGGAAUAUUGGACAAUGGGCGCAAGCCUGAUCCAGCCAUACCGCGUGGGUGAAGAAGGCCUUCGGGUUGUAAAGCCCUUUUGUUGGGAAAGAAAAGCAGCAUGUUAAUACCCCGCUGUUCUGACGGUACCCAAAGAAUAAGCACCGGCUAACUUCGUG
RNAcentral lists this ribosomal RNA (492 nucleotides) under uncultured bacterium. RNAcentral's name for it is "partial 16S ribosomal RNA". It matches the Rfam family "Bacterial small subunit ribosomal RNA", at positions 29 to 507 of the family's 1533-position model. The record is from RNAcentral.